GGGUCUAUAGUUUAAAAAGAAUAAGGGUUUUGUAAACUUUAGGUGUUAGAAAAGCUGGGCUCU
Molecule: transfer RNA, 63 nt
Filed under: Mactra antiquata
Lineage: Eukaryota; Metazoa; Mollusca; Bivalvia; Venerida; Mactridae
Description: tRNA-Thr
Source: RNAcentral